This 487-nucleotide unclassified non-coding RNA is filed under the name plant metagenome. RNAcentral's name for it is "partial contains 5.8S ribosomal RNA, internal transcribed spacer 2, and large subunit ribosomal RNA". The stretch from base 1 to 105 matches the Rfam family "5.8S ribosomal RNA", at positions 50 to 154 of the family's 154-position model. The record is from RNAcentral.
AAGCUGCGAUACGUAAUGUGAAUUGCAGAAAUCAGUGAAUCAUCGAAUCUUUGAACGCAACUUGCGCUCUUGGGUAUUCCCAGGAGCAUGUCUGCUUGAGUGUCAUUACAACUCUCCUUUUUUUUUUCUUCUUUUCCUUCGGGAGAACGAAACCAAAAAAAAGGGCUCUGAGCCAAGACAGAUCUCGGCAUCUGUGUGGCUUUAAGAUUGUUGGUGAGGGAGCAAAGAGGGCAUACCUUUUUUUGUUUUCUUCCUAUUACCACCUGAUGUGGCAAAAAAAAAAACCUCUCUCUUCUUUACUGAAGGAGAAGCUUUUUAGCAUCUGGUGAGGGAAGAACGAAGAGGAUAGUCGUUUCUCUGUUCUAUUCCAAACUCACUUGUAGUGAAUCUUUUGUGUGUGUGUGCGUGUCUCACACUCACACACGAAAAAACACAACACCUCAACAUGUGACCUCAAGUCAGGCAAGACUACCCGCUGAACUUAAGC